UACGACUACAUAUCAGGCAUAUCAAUAAGCGGAGGAAAAGAAACUAACAAGGAUUCCCCUUAGUAACGGCGAGUGAAGCGGGAAGAGCUCAAAUUUGAAAUCUUAAAGGGUUUCCCUUUACGAAUUGUAGUUUAAAGAAGUGUUUUCUGUUGGAGUUUCGGUAAAAGUUCUUUGGAAUAGGGACAUCAUAGAGGGUGAGAAUCCCGUAUUUGACCGUUAUCAUUCUAGCUUUGUGAUACACUUUCAAAGAGUCGGAUUGUUUGGGAAUGCAGUCCAAAAUGGGUGGUAAAUUUCAUCUAAAGCUAAAUAUUGGCGAGAGACCGAUAGCGAACAAGUACCGUGAGGGAAAGAUGAAAAGAACUUUGAAAAGAGAGUUAAACAGUACGUGAAAUUGUCAAAAGGGAAGCGUUUGACACCAGUGUUGUUUAGUUGAAAAUCAAUUCAAUAGUUUUUGAUUCUAAGUAGUAUUGACUUCAUCAGCUUGCUGCUUUCUUCUCAGAAAUUAUUGAAUGCACUUUUCAGUUAACAAGUCAACAUCAAUUUCUUUUGUUGUAAAAGGGUAAGAGGAAGGUGGCUUGCGCUUCGGCUCAAGUGUUUAUAGCCUUUUAUCUCUGCAAUCGGAGAGAUUGAGGUCUGCAGCGUAGAUCCUUCGGGGUUAGAUACAUUGGUGCUAAGCUAUAGCCUUGUAUAGACAACUUGUUGACUAUGCUCAGUCAUGUAGCUUACUCGCUGAUGCUAUUUUACCUACGCUUAGGAUGUUGAGUAGCGACAUACGCAC
This 778-nucleotide ribosomal RNA is filed under the name uncultured Neocallimastigales. RNAcentral describes it as "partial large subunit ribosomal RNA". It matches the Rfam family "Eukaryotic large subunit ribosomal RNA", at positions 24 to 649 of the family's 3401-position model. Lineage: Eukaryota; Fungi; Neocallimastigomycota; Neocallimastigomycetes; Neocallimastigales. The record is from RNAcentral.